UACGAAGGGGGCUAGCGUUGCUCGGAAUUACUGGGCGUAAAGGGAGCGUAGGCGGGUUAUCAAGUUGGAGGUGAAAGCCCAGGGCUCAACCUUGGAAUUGCCUUCAAAACUGAUAGCCUAGAGUAUGAUAGAGGUAAGUGGAACUCCGAGUGUAGAGGUGAAAUUCGUAGAUAUUCGGAAGAACACCAGUGGCGAAGGCGACUUACUGGAUCAUGACUGACGCUGAGGCUCGAAAGCGUGGGGAGCAAAC
This 250-nucleotide ribosomal RNA is filed under the name uncultured bacterium. RNAcentral's name for it is "partial 16S ribosomal RNA". It matches the Rfam family "Bacterial small subunit ribosomal RNA", at positions 524 to 773 of the family's 1533-position model. The record is from RNAcentral.